This 498-nucleotide ribosomal RNA is filed under the name uncultured bacterium. RNAcentral's name for it is "partial 16S ribosomal RNA". It matches the Rfam family "Bacterial small subunit ribosomal RNA", at positions 30 to 523 of the family's 1533-position model. The record is from RNAcentral.
AUUGAACACUGGCGGCAUGCCUUACACAUGCAAGUCGAACGGUAACAGGUCUUCGGAUGCUGACGAGUGGCGAACGGGUGAGUAAUACAUCGGAACGUGCCUAGUAGUGGGGGAUAACUACUCGAAAGAGUGGCUAAUACCGCAUGAGAUCUACGGAUGAAAGCAGGGGAUCGCAAGACCUUGUGCUACGAGUGCGGCCGAUGGCAGAUUAGGUAGUUGGUGGGAUAAAAGCUUACCAAGCCGACGAUCUGUAGCUGGUCGGAGAGGACGAUCAGCCACACUGGGACUGAGACACGGCCCAGACUCCUACGGGAGGCAGCAGUGGGGAAUUUUGGACAAUGGGCGCAAGCCUGAUCCAGCAAUGCCGCGUGCAGGAUGAAGGCCUUCGGGUUGUAAACUGCUUUUGUACGGAACGAAAAGGCCCGGGUUAAUACCCUGGGGUCAUGACGGUACCGUAAGAAUAAGCACCGGCUAACUACGUGCCAGCCGCCGCCGUAA